Molecule: long non-coding RNA, 713 nt
Filed under: Phasianus colchicus (ring-necked pheasant)
Lineage: Eukaryota; Metazoa; Chordata; Aves; Galliformes; Phasianidae
Description: lncRNA (ENSPCLG00000016956.1)
Source: RNAcentral
UGUGGGGAGCUGUGGGGCACUGUGAGAUGCUGUGGGGCACUGUGAGAUGCUAUGUGAUGCUGUGAGGUGCUGUGAGAUCCUAUGGGGUGCUGUGGGGUGCUGUGAGAUGCUGUGGGGUGCUGUGAUGCUGUGGGGCGCUGUGAGAUGCUAUGGGGUGCUGUGGGAUCCUAUGGGUGCUGUGGGAUCCUAUGGGGAGCUGUGGGGUGCUGUUGGAUCCUAUGGGGCACUGUGAGAUCCUAUGGGUGCUGUGGGAUCCUAUGGGGGGCUGUGGGGCACUGUGAGGUGCUAUGUGAUGCUGUGAGGUGCUGUGAGAUCCUAUGGGGCGCUGUGGGGUGCUGUGAGAUGCUAUGGGGUGCUGUGAGAUGCUAUGGGGCGCAGUGGGGCGCUUCCGCGCGGCGCCCGGCACAAACCGGGUUUUGUCCGCCGGGGUUUCGGGGCGGCGGCGGUUCUGACACUGCGGUCCUGCUGAGCUCCUGCCCUUGUCUCGCAGCUGCAGUUCGUGGCCAAAUCCGGGGACAGCGGCGGCGGCACCUACAGCGUCAGUAUCCUUGGGGGUGGGACGGUGGUCCCUACAGUGUCAGCAUCCUCUGUGGGGUGGGACGGUGGUCCCUACAGCGCCAGCAUCCUUUGUGGGGUGAGAUGGUGGUCCCUACAGUGCCAGCAUCCUCUGUGGGGUGAGAUGGUGGUCCCUACAGCGUCAGCAUCCUCUGUGG